UUGGUGUUUAGAGUUCAAAAGCUCUUAAAAUGAGAGAACACAGGAUUCUUUCUCCUGCAGAAAGAACACCUUAAUGGGCACAUGCCACAUGUUUUUGGGCAAAAGAAACAACAAUAAUUACAGGGUUCUCCAAUCAGCCACGUGAUGUGUAAAAGUUGCAUCCGUUCGUUUGUACAUGAUGCUGUAGUCACAGGGGUGGGUGAGAAGAAAGUAGUGCAGUGGUGUUUGUGAAGUGAAAGAAGUAUUAGUCCCACAUAGGUGAAAUAAGAAGGAGCAAAUGGGAGAUAGAGUAUAAAAUGAAAGAGUAGCAACAAAAAUAAUCAUACCUUUCUCGGCCUUUUGGCUAAGAUCAAGUGUAGUAUCUGUUCUUAUCAGUUUAAUAUCUGAUAUGUGGGUCAUUGGCCCACACGAUAUUAAAUUACUUUUUUAAAGGGGAAGGGCCACUACAGUAGCUUGCUAUUGGGCCUUUCACGUGUCGCUCAUGCGUUGCACUAAAGCAUGGGCUUGGCGCACCCU
RNAcentral lists this long non-coding RNA (516 nucleotides) under Lupinus angustifolius (narrow-leaved blue lupine). Its description in RNAcentral is "long non-coding RNA (LANG_LNC002801)". The stretch from base 323 to 516 matches the Rfam family "U2 spliceosomal RNA". The record is from RNAcentral. Lineage: Eukaryota; Viridiplantae; Streptophyta; Magnoliopsida; Fabales; Fabaceae.